CCAAAUCAACGGCCGAAAGGCCUUGCCUUAGGGGGGAAACCCCCGACGGUAAACCCUUUGUGAAAACCCUUCGUUUGCCUCGGCGGCACGUCCCCUCACGGGGGUGGUCAGCCCGCCGACGGCACCAACCAAAACUCUUUUUUUGAAUUGAAGAAUGUCUGAAUCAAUGGUCGAAUGACUAUA
This 183-nucleotide unclassified non-coding RNA is filed under the name uncultured fungus. RNAcentral describes it as "sequence contains ITS1, 5.8S rRNA gene". The record is from RNAcentral. Lineage: Eukaryota; Fungi.